CCCUUGUGGAGGAGGACGCCGAAGGUGGGGCUAAUGACUGGGGUGAAGUCGUAACAAGGUAGCCGUACCGGAAGGUGCGGCUGGAUCACCUCCUAACAGGGAGACAACAAAAUGUUUAAUAUCAAUUUUGUCACCUUAGGUCGAUCGGUAUCUCACAUUCUUAAAUUGAUUAAGGAUUUCAUUUUCUAAGUUUUUCUAGGUCACACCCAUUACUUUUCCUGGGCCAUUAGCUCAGGUGGUUAGAGCGCACCCCUGAUAAGGGUGAGGUCCCUGGUUCAAGUCCAGGAUGGCCCAUAUCUCUAUGUUGGGGGUAUAGCUCAGUUGGUAGAGCGCCUGCUUUGCAAGCAGGAUGUCAGCGGUUCGAGUCCGCUUACCUCCACUGAUUACCACCUCUCUCAUAAUCUAUAGAAAGGAAAUGUUUUGAGUUGUGAUCAAAUUCUGAACGAAUCUAGCUUCCUAAUGAAAUAAUUAAGAUGCUGGACUCAUUGAAUUAAUUUCAUUGUUUUCAGAGAACCUUGACAACUGCAUAGAUUAUUUUUAAAGACAAUAAGCAUCUUUAAUGAUGCAGAUUUAUUAUUUGUGCGAAUGCAUUAAUAACAAUUCUAUUAAGCUGAUGCUUCAAUUUUUGAAGUUAUUGGUCAAGCUACAAAGGGCUCACGGAGGAUACCUAGGCACACA
RNAcentral lists this unclassified non-coding RNA (678 nucleotides) under uncultured Prochlorococcus sp. RNAcentral describes it as "partial may contain 16S ribosomal RNA, 16S-23S ribosomal RNA intergenic spacer, and 23S ribosomal RNA". The stretch from base 1 to 96 matches the Rfam family "Bacterial small subunit ribosomal RNA", at positions 1438 to 1533 of the family's 1533-position model. Lineage: Bacteria; Bacillati; Cyanobacteriota; Cyanophyceae; Synechococcales; Prochlorococcaceae. The record is from RNAcentral.